CACGAAGCAAUUUGAGCUAAUUAUGAACAUUUAUUAGAAUAGGUAUGUAGCAUAAUAUUAAAUGAUUCAAAAUUAGGAGUGAUAGGCUUCUCACAUUUUGCGAUAUCUUGAUGUAUCCAACAAGUAUUUAGUACAAUAACAAUUUAUAAGCGCUUAGGUUUAUAAAAAAUAUUAAUAAUUUAAUAUUAUAAUCUGUUUAAUAUAAUAAUUUACGACUUCAAUUUUAAAUUAUUAUUAUAUAUUAUUUGUAAUUUUUAGGAUACUAUAGUAAUUAUAUAACUAUUAAUUAAUGUUAUUAUAAGUAAUACAAAGAUGUUUAUAAUGAACUCGGCAAUACAUCUUUCAACUGUUUACCAAAAACAUAGUUAUCAGAAAUUAUUGAUAAUAUUUUCUGCUCAAUGAGUUAUUAAAUAGCCGCAGUACCCUGACUGUGCAAAGGUAGCAUAAUCAUUUGGCUUAUAAUUGAAGUCUUGUAUGAAUGAAAUAAUGGGGGAUGACUUUAUCAUAAAUAUAACAUUAAAUUAUUUAAAAAGUGCAAAUACUUUUAAUAACAUAAUAGACGAGAAGACCCUAGAAAUUUUUAGAAAUUGUAUGAAAGGUUUUUGUUGGGGCAACAAUGUAACAAGUAACUUAUAUUAUUUACAUGAAAUAAAAUUGAUUGAUUAAAUUACUCUAGGGAUAACAGCGUAAUAUUGAAAUGUUUGCGACCUCGAUGUUGGACUAGGAAACAAAUGCUUAG
This 739-nucleotide ribosomal RNA is filed under the name Basedowena bethana. RNAcentral describes it as "partial 16S ribosomal RNA". Lineage: Eukaryota; Metazoa; Mollusca; Gastropoda; Stylommatophora; Camaenidae. The record is from RNAcentral.